Molecule: small RNA, 5812 nt
Filed under: Pongo abelii (Sumatran orangutan)
Lineage: Eukaryota; Metazoa; Chordata; Mammalia; Primates; Hominidae
Description: retained intron
Source: RNAcentral
AGGGAGAAAUUCAUCUGAUGAAAGACAAGGCCAAACAUUUGGACAAAUGUUUGAAGAUGCUUGAUAUGAGCUUUAAAGAUGCUGAAUGGGGUGAAGACACCUCCUGUGAAAACCUGCUUGAUGCUUUUUCAAUAAAGUUAUCUGAGACACAUGGCUAUGGGGUACAGGAGGAAUUCACUGAGGAAAACAAAUUACUAGAGGCUUGUAUUUUCAAAAAUAAUGAACUCCUUAAAAAUAUUCAAGAUGUGCAGAGUCAAAUCAGUAAAAUUGGUCUUAAGGAUCCUACUGUUCCAGCUGUGAAACAUCGGAAAAAAUCAUUAAUCAGACUGGAUAAGGUUCUAGAUGAAUAUGAAGAAGAGAAGAGACAUUUACAAGAAAUGGCUAAUUCUCUUCCACACUUCAAAGAUGACAGAGAAAAAACCGUGAAUCAACAGUGCCAAAAUACAGUAGUCUUGUGGGAGAAUACCAAAGCCUUGGUCACCGAAUGUCUUGAACAAUGUGGAAGAGUUUUGGAGCUCUUAAAACAAUAUCAGAAUUUUAAGAGCAUCUUGACAACUUUGAUUCAAAAAGAAGAGAGUGUCAUCUCCCUGCAGGCUUCGUACAUGGGAAAGGAAAACCUGAAGAAAAGGAUAGCAGAGAUUGAAAUUGUCAAAGAAGAAUUUAAUGAGCAUUUAGAAGUUGUAGACAAGAUAAACCAGAUCUGCAAAAAUCUACAAUUUUAUCUCAAUAAAAUGAAAACUUUUGAAGAGCCCCCUUUUGAAAAAGAGGCUAAUAUUAUUGUGGAUAGAUGGCUUGAUAUAAAUGAGAAGACAGAAGAUUACUAUGAAAAUCUUGGUCGAGCUCUAGCUUUGUGGGACAAACUUUUUAACUUAAAAAAUGUCAUUGAUGAGUGGACGGAAAAGGCCCUUCAAAAAAUGGAAUUACAUCAAUUGACUGAAGAGGACAGAGAAAAGCUGAAGGAAGAAUUACAAGUCCAUGAACAAAAAACUUCAGAAUUUUCUAGAAGAGUGGCUGAAAUACAGUUUUUGCUCCAAAGCAGUGAAAUACCUCUUGAAUUGCAGGUCAUGGAGUCCUCUAUUUUGAACAAGAUGGAACAUGUACAGAAGUGCUUAACAGGAGACUCCAACUGCCAUGCACUCAGUGGCAGCACUGCUGAGCUAAGGGAGGAUCUCGACCAAGCCAAGACCCAGAUCGGGAUGACUGAAUCCCUCUUAAAAGCCCUGUCUCCUUCUGACAGCUUGGAGAUCUUCACUAAACUAGAGGAGAUACAACAGCAAAUUCUACAGCAAAAACACAGUAUGAUAUUACUUGAGAAUCAAAUAGGUUGUCUGACUCCUGAACUCUCUGAAUUGAAAAAGCAAUAUGAAAGUGUCAGUGAUUUAUUUAAUACCAAAAAAAGUGUUUUGCAAGAUCACUUUUCUAAGUUAUUGAAUGAUCAAUGCAAGAACUUUAAUGACUGGUUCAGCAACAUUCAAAUGAACCUUAAGGAGUGUUUUGAAUCAUCAGAAACAAAAAAGAGUGUGGAACAAAAGCUACAAAAACUUUCUGUAAGAGAUAUAUGUAUAUUUUUAAUAAAAAUUUUCAAUACUAAAAUACUGGAGGCAUAGAACUGUAUCAAAAUAAAUAGGGAGGCUGGGCACGGUAGCUCACACCUGUAAUCCUAGCAUUUUGGGAGGCCGAGGCUGGUGGAUUGCUUGAGCUCAAGAGUGCGAGACCAGCCUGGGUCUCGAACCUUGGUGAAAGGUUCACCAAGCUCAUGGUGAAACCUUGUCUCUACAAAAAAUACAAAAAUUAGCUGGGUGUGGCAGCAAGUACCUGUAGUCCCAGGUGAGAGGAUCGCUUGAGCCUGGGAGGAGGAGGGUGUAGUGAGCUGAGAUCAUGCCACUGCACUCCAGCACUCCAGCCUGGGCGACAGAGUGAGACCCUGUCUCAAAUAAAAAAGAGAUAGAGUAAUAAGUACUUUGACUUACUAAUAUUUUCACAUAAGAGAUAAUAUUCCCAAAUAACUUGGCCUUUUUCCAAAUAUUUAAGACUCUAUUUAUUGGGUAUGUGUACAAAUGGCUUACAGAAUCUCUACUUUUACAUAUAUUCUAAGAUGCUGUUUAGUGUCCACUGGGGAAUUCAGUUGUGUUGAAAUCAUAUUUGAUAAAAAAUAAAGACCUAAUUUGGACUUUAAAAUCCCCUUUCUUGAAAGAGGUAUUUUGACUUGUUUAUACAUCUUUUUCCAGUUAUAUUUCUUUUAAAAAUUGCUGCUGAACUUCAGUACAUUUCUGGUUGGAACGUAGUGGAGGAUAUCCUGAAAUGAAAGGCAGAGUUCACGGGGGCGUAUGAAAGGCCUGUGGUACCCUAAAAUCUUGAUCACUUUAGGGUAGACUAUCUAUUACUUUAAUGUUUUGAUGAUAAGUUAUGUUCUUAAUCUUAUCAAUGGCACUAAAUGUUCACUGUUUAAUUCCUUGCUUUGAUGGUACCAUUCUUUACUGAUAGAAUCACCCCUAUUCUAACAAUUUGAAGUCUCAUCUUUUUUUGUUUGCUUGUUUGCCUUUAAUUUUGCCCAUUGCUUGGGCCUUAACAAUUGAUGCCCAAACCUUGAAACGUAAACAUUGAGAUAAAAUUCUUAUUUGGGCAACGUUAAAUAGAGAAUAGUCUGUGGAGAAGUUGGACGCAGCCAGGAUAGGAAACUGUAGCUUUCCUGGUCUUGCUCCUGCUGAUCUUCCUGGUAGCUCUGUGUUACUUUGCUUGAUGUAAUUCCCAAGAAGUCAGAGCUAUUAUAAAUCAUCUGCCAUUGGAGAUAGCCACAUCUCCAUCACCCUUCUUUCGUAUAGGAUCUUAAGGUGGUAUGUCUGUGUACUGGUUUGGAAAAGUGUCGUGAGGGUGGCAGAGAGCACAUUCAGACUUGCCAGGAGAUUGUAAUGGACUUUCUGUCUUUCUGAAGGAUUUCUUGAGUCUUGAAGGAAGAAACAGUAAAAUAAAGCAGGUGGACAGUGUACUGAAGCAUGUGAAGAAGCAUCUGCCCAAAGCACAUGUGAAGGAGCUUACCAGUUGGCUCGUGGGUCAGGAAUUCGAAUUAGAAAAAAUGGAGUCCAUAUGCCAGGCUCGAGCAAAGGAGCUUGAAGACUCUUUGGAGCAGCUACUGAGACUCCGGGAUGACCACAGAAACCUGAGUAAGUGGUUGACUAAUCAAGAAGAGAAAUGGAAAGGAAUGGAAGAAUCAGGGGAGAAAACUGAGCUGUUCUGCCAAGCUUUAGCUAGAAAGAGGGAACAGUUUGAAUCUGUGGCCCAGUUGAACAACUCUUUGAAGGAAUAUGGGUUUACUGAAGAAGAAGAAAUAAUAAUGGAAUCAACAUGUUUGAUGGGUAGAUACCAGACAUUACUGAGACAACUAAGUGAAAUCGAGGAAGAGGAUAAGUUACCACCCACAGAGGACCAGAGCUUUAAUGAUCUUGCACAUGAUGUAAUUCAUUGGAUAAAAGAGAUUAAAGAGUCCCUUAUGGUUUUGAAUUCAUCUGAAGGCAAAAUGCCACUUGAGGAAAGAAUCCAAAAAAUCAAGGAAAUCAUUUUGCUGAAGCCUGAAGGGGAUGCCAGAAUAGAGACCAUCAUGAAGCAGGCUGAGAGCAGCGAGGCCCCGCUGAUUCAGAAGACCCUCGCUGACAUCAGCAACCAGUGGGACAACACACUCCAUUUAGCUAGCACCUACCUAAGCCAUCAAGAAAAGCUUCUACUAGAAGGAGAGAAAUAUUUACAAAGUAAGGAGGAUCUGAGAUUAAUGCUCAUAGAACUAAAGAAGAAACAGGAAGCAGGCUUUGCUCUACAACAUGGUCUGCAGGAGAAGAAAGCUCAGUUAAAGAUUUAUAAGAAAUUCCUCAAGAAAGCCCAAGAUUUGACAUCCUUGCUAAAGGAGUUAAAAUCUCAAGGAAACUACCUCUUGGAGUGCACUAAAAAUCCCAGCUUCAGUGAAGAGCCUUGGCUGGAAAUAAAGCAUCUACACGAAAGUCUUCUUCAACAACUGCAGGAUUCUGUGCAAAACUUGGAAGGUCACGUUCGAGAACAUGAUUCAUACCAGGUUUGCAUCACAGACCUGAAUACCACAUUGGACAAUUUCUCCAAGGAAUUUGUCAGUUUUUCUGAUAAGGCUGUGGAUCAAAUAGCUGUUGAGGAAAAAUUGCAGAAACUGCAGGAACUAGAGAAUAGACUCAGUUUACAAGAUGGCACAUUAAAGAAGAUUUUAGCUUUAGCAAAAUCCGUCAAGCAAAAUACAUCUUCAGUGGGGCAGAAGAUUAUUAAAGAUGAUAUAAAAUCACUUAAGUGUAAACAAAAAGAUUUGGAAAACAGCCUUGAAUCUGCUAAGCAGGAGAUGGAAUGUUGUCUCAACAGCAUUCUCAAAUCAAAAUGCUCAACAGAAAAGAAAGAAAAGUUUACUCUGCCAGGCAGAGAGAAGCAGGCCACUUCUGAUGUGCAGGAGUCUACUCAGGAAUCAGCUGCAGUGGAAAAGUUGGAGGAAGACUGGGAAAUAAACAAGGAUUCAGCUGUGGAAAUGGUUAUGUCAAAACAACUUUCUCUGAAUGCUCAAGAAAGCAUGAAAAACACUGAAGAUGAGCAGAAAGUCAAUGAGCUGCAAAAUCAACCUUUAGAAUUAGAUACUAUGUUAAGAAAUGAACAAUUAGAAGAGAUAGAGGUAUGGAAACAUAAAAACACUGACAACAUGAUUGCAUCAUUUAUCCAGUGCAAUACAAUAUAUUUUAAUUGCCAAAAACUUGCUUGUACAGAGUGAAAAGUCUUAUUUAACCUUUGCCUGAUGAUCAGUUUGGUAACUGUAUAAUUAUGUACUGAGUAAGUUGUAUAAAUCUUUCCAUUUAGAAAGUAGAAGAGUUUAAUGAACAUUAGUCUUCUUUCUAUUACACAAAGUUCCUAAAAACUUAGUGACAAAAUUUGGAGAUUUUGACUUGCCAUCAUUCCUUUUCUUACAAGUGUAUAUUCUUCUGAUUCUGACAAAUGUAUUUUUCCUAACAAUCAGUGCUAUGAGGCUCUUCCUCCUUUGUUUUUACAUCUGUGUUUACAUAGUUAUGUUUAUGUAUUUAUGUGCUUCCAGCUUGUACAGUAAUCUAAAAAUUCAAUACAUGGCCAUAUUUUAAAAAGUGAAACUGCAGCCAGACAUGGUGGCUCAUGUCUGUUAUCCCAGCACUUUGGGAGGCUGAGGCAGGGGGAUUGCCUGAGUCCAGGAGUUGGAGACCAGCCUGGGCAACAUUGCGAGACCUCAUCUCUACCAAAAAAAUACAAAAAUUAUUUGGGCAAGAUGGUGUGUGCUUGUAGUUUUAGCUACUCAGGAGACUGAGACAGGAGGAUUGCUUGAACCCAGGAGUUCAAGGUUGCAGUGAGGUGAGAUUGUGGCACUGCAUUCCAGCCUAGAUGAUGGAGCGAGAUCCUGUCUCUAAAAGAAAAACAAAACAAACAAACAAAAAAAAGCAAACUAUAAACAACCCAUGCAAUUUUAGCCAAGUUUCCACAACAGUAAACACUCAUCUAAAAUAGGAAAGAUGGGUCAUGUAUGUAAAUAAUAAAAUUAAGAUGAAUUUCCCUUUAGAUAUUGCAGAACCCUUUAAGAUAAUAGAGUGAUCUAACUGACAUUAAAUGCUGGACCAAUGGUGAAUUUUAGAAUGGAUUUUAACAUGAUUCUUGGGAAGAAAAACCUUUUAAAUAUUAAGGGUAUGGUGGCUCAUGGCUGUCAUCCCAGUCCUUUGGGAGGCUGAGGUAGGAAGAUUGUUUGAGGCCAGGAGUUCAAGACCAGCCUGGGCAAUAUAGCAAGACUCUCGGCUCU